This 710-nucleotide long non-coding RNA is filed under the name Rattus norvegicus (Norway rat). Its description in RNAcentral is "long non-coding RNA NONRATT031894". The record is from RNAcentral. Lineage: Eukaryota; Metazoa; Chordata; Mammalia; Rodentia; Muridae.
AUACAGACUGGGCUGCGCAAGAGUUCACAACUUCUACCCUGGCUUCUGUACUGGAGCAGCAGACGUGAAGACAAGUUGCAAGCCUAGUGUAAAAUAGGGAAACAGUCACCACCACCACCCUGUGCUGGCAGCUGUUUGCAGUCCUCCAGUUUGGGGCUUUGUCCGAGAGAUGCAACCUUCACAGCAAGAUGGGACCGGAGAAGAAAUCUGUCUCGUCGUGGCUCAGUAAAGUCUCAAAGGGCUCUCCCAGAAGCCACCUUGAGAAGGGUCCCUCAAGUUAAGGACUAAACCUUCCUGUGGACUAGAAGACACACAACAAUCACAAGUUUUGUUUCUAGUGGUCAGCCGGCAUUGAUCUGGAUGUGUCUCUGUGAUUUGAAUUUAGAAUGCCAAUACAGGGCUCGUGUGUUUGAACAGUUAGUUCCUGCCUGGUGGCACUGCUUUGGAAGAUUGUGGAAACUUUAGUAGGAGACAGAGGGAGUGCUUCACUGAGACCUGCCUUGAGAACUUGUAGACCAGCCCCACUCUAUGGCUUGAUGGUAGACUCAGUGUGGCUGGUCUCCUCACGCCCCUGCUGCCAAGACUUCUCCAUUCAUGGACUAUAUCUCUUUAAACUGUUCUGUAUAAUGAUUCUUGAAUGCACCCCUAUAAAAAAGUAAACACUAUCGCUGAGGAUGGGGAGUUGACUCAUCUAAGCACUGACUGCUCUU